UCCCGCAACGAGCGCAACCCUCGUCCUUAGUUGCUAACGUUGCCGAUGGUGCUUGCACUCUAGGGAGACCGCCAGCGAUAAGCUGGAGGAAGGUGGGGAUGACCUCAAGUCCUCUUGGCCCUUAUGUCCCGGGCUACACACACGCUACAAUGGCCUGAACAAACGAUUGCAAGACCGCGAGGAGAACCUAAACCCAAAAAUCAAGCCUCAAUUCAAAUUGCAAGCUGCAACUCGCCUGCAUGAAAACGGAGUUGCUAGUAACCGCAGGUCAGCUAUACUGCGGUGAAUACGUUCUCGGACUUGUAACGUCGCCCGUA
This 317-nucleotide ribosomal RNA is filed under the name uncultured bacterium. RNAcentral's name for it is "bacterial SSU rRNA". It matches the Rfam family "Bacterial small subunit ribosomal RNA", at positions 1085 to 1398 of the family's 1533-position model. The record is from RNAcentral.